Molecule: non-coding RNA, 45 nt
Organism: Dipodomys ordii (Ord's kangaroo rat)
Lineage: Eukaryota; Metazoa; Chordata; Mammalia; Rodentia; Heteromyidae
Source: Rfam
CAAACGGCUCUUUUCAGAGCCACCUACAGAUUCAGACAAAGCUAG